This 475-nucleotide ribosomal RNA is filed under the name uncultured organism. RNAcentral's name for it is "partial 16S ribosomal RNA". It matches the Rfam family "Bacterial small subunit ribosomal RNA", at positions 335 to 801 of the family's 1533-position model. The record is from RNAcentral.
ACUCCUACGAGAGGCAGCAGUGGGGAAUUUUGGACAAUGGGCGAAAGCCUGAUCCAGCAAUGCCGCGUGUGUGAAGAAGGCCUUCGGGUUGUAAAGCACUUUUGUCCGGAAAGAAAUCCUUGGCUCUAAUACAGUCGGGGGAUGACGGUACCGGAAGAAUAAGCACCGGCUAACUACGUGCCAGCAGCCGCGGUAAUACGUAGGGUGCGAGCGUUAAUCGGAAUUACUGGGCGUAAAGCGUGCGCAGGCGGUUUGCUAAGACCGAUGUGAAAUCCCCGGGCUCAACCUGGGAACUGCAUUGGUGACUGGCAGGCUAGAGUAUGGCAGAGGGGGGUAGAAUUCCACGUGUAGCAGUGAAAUGCGUAGAGAUGUGGAGGAAUACCGAUGGCGAAGGCAGCCCCCUGGGCCAAUACUGACGCUCAUGCACGAAAGCGUGGGGAGCAAACAGGAUUAGAUACCCGUGUAGUCCCAUGAU